Molecule: ribosomal RNA, 573 nt
Filed under: uncultured bacterium
Lineage: Bacteria
Description: partial 16S ribosomal RNA
Rfam family: Bacterial small subunit ribosomal RNA
Source: RNAcentral
UGGGGAAUAUUGCACAAUGGGCGCAAGCCUGAUGCAGCCAUGCCGCGUGUGUGAAGAAGGCCUUCGGGUUGUAAAGCACUUUCAGCGAGGAGGAAGGUGGUGAACUUAAUACGUUCAUCAAUUGACGUUACUCGCAGAAGAAGCACCGGCUAACUCCGUGCCAGCAGCCGCGGUAAUACGGAGGGUGCAAGCGUUAAUCGGAAUUACUGGGCGUAAAGCGCACGCAGGCGGUUUGUUAAGUCAGAUGUGAAAUCCCCGGGCUCAACCUGGGAACUGCAUUUGAAACUGGCAAGCUAGAGUCUCGUAGAGGGGGGUAGAAUUCCAGGUGUAGCGGUGAAAUGCGUAGAGAUCUGGAGGAAUACCGGUGGCGAAGGCGGCCCCCUGGACGAAGACUGACGCUCAGGUGCGAAAGCGUGGGGAGCAAGCAGGAUUAGAUACCCUGGUAGUCCACGCUGUAAACGAUGUCGAUUUGGAGGUUGUGCCCUUGAGGCGUGGCUUCCGGAGCUAACGCGUUAAAUCGACCGCCUGGGGAGUACGGCCGCAAGGUUAAAACUUAAAGGAAUUGACGGGGUC